GAUGAAGAACGUAGCGAAAUGCGAUACGUAAUGUGAAUUGCAGAAUUCAGUGAAUCAUCGAAUCUUUGAACGCAUAUUGCGCUCUCUGGUAUUCCGGAGAGCAUGCUUGUUUGAGUAUCAGUAAACACCUCAACUCCCUUUUCUUUUUUGAAAUUGGAGCUGGACUUAAGUGAUCCCAACGCUUUCUUCCAAGAAAGUGGCGGGUUGCUUGAAAUGCAGGUGCAGCUGAACUUUUCUCUGAGCUAUAAGCAUAUCUAUUUAGUCUGCCUAAAAAACAGAUUAUUACCUUUGCUGCAGCUAACAUAAAGGAGACUAGUUCUUGUGCUGACUGAUGCAGGAUUCACAGAGACAGCUUCGGCUGACUUUGUAAACUCGAUCUCAAAUCAAGUAAGACUACCCGCUGAACUUAAGCAUAUCAAUAAGCGGAGGA
This 430-nucleotide unclassified non-coding RNA is filed under the name soil metagenome. Its description in RNAcentral is "partial contains 5.8S ribosomal RNA, internal transcribed spacer 2, and large subunit ribosomal RNA". The stretch from base 1 to 120 matches the Rfam family "5.8S ribosomal RNA", at positions 35 to 154 of the family's 154-position model. The record is from RNAcentral.